RNAcentral lists this long non-coding RNA (635 nucleotides) under Dromaius novaehollandiae (emu). RNAcentral describes it as "lncRNA (ENSDNVG00000008449.1)". The record is from RNAcentral. Lineage: Eukaryota; Metazoa; Chordata; Aves; Casuariiformes; Dromaiidae.
AGAUACCUUAAGACUAUGAUUGUUUCCUGGAAGUAACAGCAGGUUUAGCAUGGACAUGUACUAAAAAGAAGAGCUCCUCAGUAUGCUGCUUUGGACAUGGAUGGAUUAAAGGUUCACUGCACACUGACAGGCCCAAAUCUGCAUGAGAAUGUCGCCUUGGCAGCUUGCUGCAGCCCGUCACUGCRGCACAGCCGUAGCAUCAGUUCGGCUCUGCAACCAGGGUAUUGUUUGGUGUUGGAAAAUCCCUCCCUCCCGCUGAGAAGUGGCUCCAUGGCAGCCCGUGAAUAUUACUCCACCAGCCAAGCUCAGUCUGCAAAUGACGUYGUGAGUCACUGCACUCCCCGCAAGUCUGCAGUCCCCAGAAUGUGCAUCUGUCUGCCCGUGGCAACUGCUUGGGGCUGGUGUGAUGCUUGGCAAGUUCAGCUGACUCCGAGUGGCCUCGUACCUGAAUUAUCUCCUGUCAAGCAUCAAGUCAAGUAUGAGUGAAACUGCAAAUGGGAGUCUAUUAAAGUUUCACGUUUCUCCACUGGAAUGCCAUAGAUUAGAGAAGUUUUCAGAAGACACUGAUUGCUGAAUAUGGAGCUCUGUAAUGCAUUAUCUUUUCCUCUGUGAUAAUAAAACUUUGUCUUUAGUCA